UACGGAGGGAGCUAGCGUUAUUCGGAAUUACUGGGCGUAAAGCGCGCGUAGGCGGUCAAUAAAGUCGGGUGUGAAAGCCCAGGGCUUAACCCUGGAACUGCACUCGAAACUCAUUGACUAGAAUCUGGUAGAGGAUGGUGGAAUUUCCAGUGUAGAGGUGAAAUUCGUAGAUAUUGGAAGGAACACCAGUGGCGAAGGCGACCAUCUGGGCCAGAAUUGACGCUAAGGUGCGAAAGCGUGGGUAGCAAACAGG
RNAcentral lists this ribosomal RNA (253 nucleotides) under uncultured bacterium. RNAcentral describes it as "partial 16S ribosomal RNA". It matches the Rfam family "Bacterial small subunit ribosomal RNA", at positions 524 to 776 of the family's 1533-position model. The record is from RNAcentral.